UACAACCCUAACGCAAGAUGGAGUCGAAAAUUAAUGGCGACAAAAAAUAAUUUUUUUCGCGACAGAAAAGAAAAUCAGGUACAAAACGAAAAAGAAAAUCAGGUACAAAACGGAAUAUAGAAUCAGAGAAACUUACAAUUUAAGUAAAACUAAUUUGAAAAAGAAAAACUUUAGUUAAGCAAACAGAUAAAUAGAGUGAGCCCAACACAGAAAGAGAGUGAGGGACGAGCGAGCGAGCGUGCGAGCGAGAGAGAAAGAAAGACAGAAGAAGAGUGCGUGCAAAAACAUUGAGAAUAAAAACAAAAAAAAAAAAAGAAAAGAAAAGUAAAAAAAGAAGAACAAAAAAUAAUCGACCAAAAAUUGCAACGAAAGAAGGAAGUAAUAUAAAAACAAAAAAAACGUGUGUGAGUGUCACCCAAGAAAGAGAGAGAGAACACAAAAUUAAUCUCUCGAGAGGGGCACCAAAUUGAACCAGCAAAGUGGCGUCCCUACUCAGGAUACGGGCUGGGGCAGCAGCAGCGGCGUCGUCCAUGUUCCACUACAACAAAAAAACCAACCAAACCAACAAUCAGAGCAAUCACACCACAACCAGGAGAGCGCCAGAGCAGCAGCCGCCGCCGGUGUGGUGUCGCCAACUGUGGCCUUAAGCAUGUAGUCUUGGACGCUUAAUUUCCUGGGGUUCUCUCACUCUUAACUUGCUAAUAAAACAGUAGCAAGCACACGUCAAAGAAGUAGAAGAGAAGCUAAGCAGAAG
Drosophila willistoni is the source of this 754-nucleotide long non-coding RNA. RefSeq lists it as uncharacterized. The transcript has 3 exons. The record is from RefSeq and is a predicted model, not a curated record. Lineage: Eukaryota; Metazoa; Arthropoda; Insecta; Diptera; Drosophilidae.